Molecule: long non-coding RNA, 537 nt
Organism: Amphimedon queenslandica
Lineage: Eukaryota; Metazoa; Porifera; Demospongiae; Haplosclerida; Niphatidae
Exons: 5
Source: RefSeq, a predicted model, not a curated record
AAAGAGUUUUAAUAUACUCUUUUUCUUUAGUUCAGUUCUCUGUGGAACUAGUUUUGAAUUAUUUCUUAAUUUGUUGUCCAAGUGUUUGAUUGACCGCACCCACGGCAGCCAGAUAUGGAGACAGCUCAAAACCAGGAUUUAUUCAAAGAUUUUGCGUAAGAAAGUAUUAGAAUUGUCCAGUGAAGGUCUUAGCAAUAUGAUAUCAGUCUUUCUGACUCUUUGUCAUUCUGACUCUUUGUCAUUCUUGUGAUCAAGAGGAUAUCAUUGAAGUGGGCCAGCAGUUUUACACAUCUCUGGAGUAUCGUCAGUUAUCUUCAACUUCUGAAACCAAUUUGAAAAUUAUAUGGAAAGGAAUAUUAUUACUGUUAAUGGUUUAUCACUCAAGAGUCAAGAGGCAUCUCAAUUUAUUCAAUGGCAAUAUUGAGCAACAUAAGAAAAAAUAUUAAAAUAUUAGCUGAUGCUUAUUUUAAACAGUCUCAUUCCAUUCUUGUCACUGACGUACUAUACAAUACUCUACAAUAUUAGAAGGACUCCAUC